AGGCAAGAUGUUGGCAUAGCUGUUGAUCUAAAAACCUGCUAUGCCAACAUAUUGUCAUC
RNAcentral lists this microRNA precursor (59 nucleotides) under Taeniopygia guttata (zebra finch). Its description in RNAcentral is "Tgu-Mir-31_pre stem-loop". It matches the Rfam family "mir-31 microRNA precursor family", at positions 12 to 71 of the family's 83-position model. The record is from RNAcentral. Lineage: Eukaryota; Metazoa; Chordata; Aves; Passeriformes; Estrildidae.